This 497-nucleotide ribosomal RNA is filed under the name uncultured bacterium. RNAcentral describes it as "partial 16S ribosomal RNA". It matches the Rfam family "Bacterial small subunit ribosomal RNA", at positions 28 to 507 of the family's 1533-position model. The record is from RNAcentral.
GACGAACGCUGGCGGCGUGCCUAAUACAUGCAAGUAGAACGCUGAAGAGAGGAGCUUGCUCUUCUUGGAUGAGUUGCGAACGGGUGAGUAACGCGUAGGUAACCUGCCUUGUAGCGGGGGAUAACUAUUGGAAACGAUAGCUAAUACCGCAUAACAAUGGAUGACACAUGUCAUUUAUUUGAAAGGGGCAAUUGCUCCACUACAAGAUGGACCUGCGUUGUAUUAGCUAGUAGGUGAGGUAAUGGCUCACCUAGGCGACGAUACAUAGCCGACCUGAGAGGGUGAUCGGCCACACUGGGACUGAGACACGGCCCAGACUCCCACGGGAGGCAGCAGUAGGGAAUCUUCGGCAAUGGGGGCAACCCUGACCGAGCAACGCCGCGUGAGUGAAGAAGGUUUUCGGAUCGUAAAGCUCUGUUGUAAGUCAAGAACGGGUGUGAGAGUGGAAAGUUCACACUGUGACGGUAGCUUACCAGAAAGGGACGGCUAGCUACGUG